RNAcentral lists this ribosomal RNA (158 nucleotides) under Malbranchea sp. UAMH 1592. Its description in RNAcentral is "Auxarthron sp. UAMH 1592 5.8S ribosomal RNA". It matches the Rfam family "5.8S ribosomal RNA". Rfam says of the family: 5.8S ribosomal RNA (5.8S rRNA) is a component of the large subunit of the eukaryotic ribosome. It is transcribed by RNA polymerase I as part of the 45S precursor that also contains 18S and 28S rRNA. Lineage: Eukaryota; Fungi; Ascomycota; Eurotiomycetes; Onygenales; Malbrancheaceae. The record is from RNAcentral.
UCAAAACUUUCAACAAUGGAUCUCUUGGUUCCGGCAUCGAUGAAGAACGCAGCGAAAUGCGAAAAGUAAUGUGAAUUGCAGAAUUCCGUGAAUCAUCGAAUCUUUGAACGCACAUUGCGCCCCCUGGUAUUCCGGGGGGCAUGCCUGUCCGAGCGUCA